AGAUGCGAUAAUAUUCAUGGUGCUACAUGUGCAAAAAGAAUGGAGAAUCGAUAGAUCAUUUGCUUUUAUAUUGUGAAGUGGCGGGGGAACUAUGGGCUGGUAUCCUUGAUAGAGCUGGACUGAGUUGGGUAAUGCCUAAGAGUGUAGUGGAAUUACUAGUGUGCUGGAACAGGAGGCAUAACAGUGCACAAUUGGCAGCAGCGUGGCGUAUGAUACCUUUGUCAUCAAUGUGGUGUCUAUGGUUAGAAAGGAAUGAUAGGUGUUUUAACAACAAGGAGCGUGCAGUGGGAGAAAUCUGGAAUUUUUUUGUAUUCUCUCUUUUACAGUGGUUUUCUGCUAUUGUAUUGAAGGGUGGGAGUGUCCAUGAGUUUCUAUCCUCUUUUCAGCUCACUAGAAUGUAAUUAGGUGUCUCACUUUGUAUACUUCCUGUGUACUUGGGCAUUUGCCUAGUUUCAUUCUAUUCAAUAAAUCUAUCUAUUUACUUAUAAAAAAAAAAAAAAAA
This is a long non-coding RNA of Juglans microcarpa x Juglans regia, 502 nucleotides long. RefSeq lists it as uncharacterized. Lineage: Eukaryota; Viridiplantae; Streptophyta; Magnoliopsida; Fagales; Juglandaceae. The transcript is spliced from 3 exons. The record is from RefSeq and is a predicted model, not a curated record.